CGAGUAACACGUAUCCAACCUGCCGUCUACUCUUGGCCAGCCUUCUGAAAGGAAGAUUAAUCCAGGAUGGCAUCAUGAGUCCGCAUGUUCACAUGAUUAAAGGUAUUCCGGUAGACGAUGGGGAUGCGUUCCAUUAGAUAGUAGGCGGGGUAACGGCCCACCUAGUCUUCGAUGGAUAGGGGUUCUGAGAGGAAGGUCCCCCACAUUGGAACUGAGACACGGUCCAA
Molecule: ribosomal RNA, 227 nt
Filed under: uncultured bacterium
Lineage: Bacteria
Description: partial 16S ribosomal RNA
Rfam family: Bacterial small subunit ribosomal RNA
Source: RNAcentral